This 575-nucleotide ribosomal RNA is filed under the name uncultured bacterium. RNAcentral describes it as "bacterial LSU rRNA". It matches the Rfam family "Bacterial large subunit ribosomal RNA", at positions 1765 to 2336 of the family's 2925-position model. The record is from RNAcentral.
GCCAAAAACCGGUUGCAGAGAAUCGGGGGGUAGCGACUGUUUACCAAAAACACAGCACUCUGCUAAGUCGCAAGACGAUGUAUAGGGUGUGAUGCCUGCCCGGUGCCGGAAGGUUAAGAGGAGGAGUCAGCCGCAAGGCGAAGCCCUGAAUCGAAGCCCCGGUAAACGGCGGCCGUAACAAUAACGGUCCUAAGGUAGCGAAAUUCCUUGUCGGGUAAGUUCCGACCUGCACGAAUGGCAUAACGACUUCCCCACUGUCUCAGAGAGGCACUCAGCGAAGUAGCACUAGGGGUGAAGAUACCCCUUUACCCGCGGCAGGACGGAAAGACCCCGUGAACCUUUACUGUAACUUGACACUGAUUUUCGGGUUAGUUUGCGUAGGAUAGGUGGGAGGCUGUGAAGUCGGGACUCCGGUUUCGGCAGAGCCAACCUUGAAAUACCACCCUGACUAGCCUAAAAAUCUAACCCACAGCCGUCAUCCGGCUGGGAGACAAUGUCUGGUGGGCAGUUUGACUGGGGCGUCGCCUCCAAAAAAGUAACGGAGGCGCGCGAAGGUUCCCUCAGCCUGAUUACGG